Long non-coding RNA from Electrophorus electricus (electric eel), 203 nucleotides. NCBI's taxonomy places the organism in Eukaryota, Metazoa, Chordata, Actinopteri, Gymnotiformes, Gymnotidae. The record is from Ensembl.
CUCUCAGUCUGGCUCAGAUAGCCCCAAGAAAAAGCAGCAAAGUGAGUCAAAAUCCCCUACCAAGUCACAUAAAGCCAUUUCCAGUGUUUGUGAGGAGAGCAAUGAAGUUUUAAGGACCAGUCACGAGAAGGAAGAUGACAGCAAAGCAGAGAAACCAGAAAAGCAGGUAAACUUCAAGUAAACCUCUAGGCCUUUUCCAUGAU